UGGNUUGUAACUGCUUUUGUNCAGGAAGAAACAGUUCUACGUGUAGAACCUUGACGGUACUGUAAGAAUAAGGAUCGGCUAACUCCGUGCCAGCAGCCGCGGUAAUACGGAGGAUCCAAGCGUUAUCCGGAAUCAUUGGGUUUAAAGGGUCCGUAGGCGGUUUAGUAAGUCAGUGGUGAAAGCCCAUCGCUCAACGGUGGAACGGCCAUUGAUACUGCUAGACUUGAAUUAUUAGGAAGUAACUAGAAUAUGUAGUGUAGCGGUGAAAUGCUUAGAGAUUACAUGGAAUACCAAUUGCGAAGGCAGGUUACUACUAAUGGAUUGACGCUGAUGGACGAAAGCGUGGGUAGCGAACAGGAUUAGAUACCCUGGUAGUCC
Molecule: ribosomal RNA, 378 nt
Filed under: uncultured bacterium
Lineage: Bacteria
Description: bacterial SSU rRNA
Rfam family: Bacterial small subunit ribosomal RNA
Source: RNAcentral